UAGUCAUAUGCUUGUCUCAAAGACUAAGCCAUGCAUGUCUAAGUAUAAACACUUUUAUAUGGUGAAACUGCGGACGGCUCAUUAAACCAGUGAUAGUUUACUUGAUCGUAUCUUCUUACUUGGAUAACCGUAGGAAAUCUAGAGCUAAUACAUGCAAAAAAUCCGAGUUGUCCAUAGGUACAACUGGAUGUAUUUAUUAGAUUAAAAAACCAAUGCAAAUAGUUAAUCGCUAGCUAUUUGCAGCCCUUGGUGAUUCAUAAUAACUUUUAACGAAGCG
Molecule: ribosomal RNA, 277 nt
Filed under: uncultured eukaryote
Lineage: Eukaryota
Description: partial 18S ribosomal RNA
Rfam family: Eukaryotic small subunit ribosomal RNA
Source: RNAcentral